This 532-nucleotide long non-coding RNA is filed under the name Gallus gallus (chicken). Its description in RNAcentral is "lncRNA (ENSGALG00010004709.1)". Lineage: Eukaryota; Metazoa; Chordata; Aves; Galliformes; Phasianidae. The record is from RNAcentral.
GGCGGCUCCCGCUGCAGCUCCGGCUCCGGCUCCGGCUCGCCCUCAGCAGCCGCCGCAGACGGGGGAGUCUUUUACAUCAUUAUCUCGGAGAGUAGGUUAUUAUGGAGAAGAGUCGCCUGUUGGGACAGAGCUUUCUACCCAAUCAGGUUAACGUUUUAAUUAAUAGGAUUAAAACGGUAACAAACAAUCCCAGGCGCUAUCUGGCCCCGAGUCUGAAUAGUUUCAUUUCCCAGGUCUGCAGGCAGGCAGCAGCCCGAGCUUUAUAAGCGGCGCCCGCUCCAUUAUUCUCGCUGCCAUCUGUAUACACAGCUUAACGCAUAUGUUUGCAAGACGUUGUGUCCUGUUAGUAACCCAACAACUGCCUUUAGCUUGACAUGUGUGGCGACUUUCACUCAUCAAUGAGCACACUAAAAGCCCUACUUAGAUCGAAGGAUGUUCUUUGCCUCCUUCAGCAAAUUGCAGCCCCGCGCCGCGCCGGAGCCGCCCGACUCCCGCUGCCUCGGCCGUGCGGGCGGAGGGACACCCUCUCCCC